GAGGUCAAGAAGGCUCAACCUACCAUAUCCACUGUCCUUGGACCAAACCACAGGCACAUGAAAGCGCACCAAGAGCAGCACAUCUGCCAGGGAGUACCUGGAGAACAGCAUGUCAGCUCUGCUCUGGACCAAGAUGUCAGAGGGCAGACAGUGAGACAGUGAGGAUUUAAUGUCGUCUUCUUCCUGGACCGGAUGGGAGGCAGCAGCUCAUCCAAGCUGUUCCCAGGAUCACCCCUGGGCUCAAAAGAGAAUCCCUGGCGGCAAAAUCCUCAAGCACACAGGUCAAUUCUGACUGUAUGAAAUGCAACCCUUCAGAACCAUCCUGGCUACACGGGACAGCAUGGCCAAGAAGAGCGUGGAGGCAAAUUACAAUGCUCUUUUAACAGCUGCCCAAAAGAAAAGAAGGCUCAGAAUUUUGGAGUGAGAUCACUACAUGGAGCUGGGCAAAACACAGAGGUUUUGAAUUGCAGAGGUUUAAUGAAGCCAAAAACCCAAAGCAAAUCUCAGUCAAACUCAUCAUGUUUCAUCUGGUUUAUUAUUAUUUAUAAUUUAUGGAGCUAUAGAAGUGUGCCUGGCACUGCAUGGAACAGAGACGGGGGGGCAGGAUUCCUGAUCUAAGACCCUUACCGAACCUAAUGACCCUUUCCUGCACCACUGGAGUCAACUGAAUGGUUCAUGAACUGUAGGCAUUGUUUCAGGGGGCAUAGGCUGAGGUCAGAGUCAUAGCCAAAUUCCAAACCAGGUGAGUUCCCCAUAGUUUGGAGCUUUAUAAUCAAGCAUUCACACAUUACCCCCUCUCUCAUUUCACAUUGCCUACUAAGAGCUAUCAGAUAUGAUUGUGUUUCCUUUACCUUCAAGCCACAAAAUAUAGAUCUGAAUCUAAAUAUCAAAACACUCCAGGUUUUGGGGUAGGGUUGGAACACAGAUUUUUUUCAGCUUAGCAGAAAGUAGCACUGAAACCUAUCAUACUCAAUCCAUAUAGCCAACAGCACCCUAUGGGCAGUGGUCCAGGAUACUUGGCCAUAUCUCUACUAAGACACAAGGUCCAGCUAAUCCAUUGUGUUCCAUAGCUAGCAUCAAAGGUUCCAUUACUAAUUUGGAUACUGUUGGCAUCAGUGGUCAGGUUCCAUGAUCACAGCAUUGUGGUAAGUUUCCUAGAUCUGAUUGAACUUGGCUGGGAGUUCUGCCCUUGGAUAUAAGUGUGCCUUACUCCAUUUUCACAGGGGCUUCUUGCUCAGCCUUAGACAUGUGCACUCUGGGCUGAAUACAAAUGAUUGCAGCCAAAAGUCAAAUUUGUUAAAUAGAAGUUCACCAAAAUAAUCUUAAGUGAAAGUGAAAUCCUGUAAAUAACAGAAGCCACAUGUCUGGAAGCAACCAACAGGGUACAUGCAGUUCUGUACUCUGGAAUUUUAACAUCAGGACUGUCACGGGCUCUCCGCACAGCCUUCUGCCAGCCAGUUCCUUACUAGGUGUCUCAGUUUCCCACAGCUGUAAAAUGGGGAUAAUGGCACUUGCUUCAACAGGGUGUACUAUGCAUGAAUAAGUUAGGACUUCUAAAAUGCUUUGAACAUGAGAGCCCUGUAUAGAGUGCUGAAGUGGUUUCAAUUUCAAAUGCAAACCAUGAGAGGGAUUAGUCCUUGCAUGACAAUUUAUUUUGGCAUUUUAAGAGGGGGAAAAAAGAAAAGAAAAACCCAGAACACUGAAAGCAUUAAGUCUUGAAAAUGGCUAGUGACUAAGUGCAUUAGCUGCAGUACUGCCAGGAAAAAGCAGCUGGCUUCUGCUGUGAAGCCAUAUUAUUGUAGACCUGGUUUUUCACAGCAAAUACUGCUUAGAGUAAAUACAGAGAAACACAGUUCAGCUGGUCAGUUAGUCGAUAAUUGCUAUGUCACCCAUGUUUAAGUUCUAGAGAGUUUGUCAACCUCAGUCGGAAGAGGAGUAGGCUGAAAGGAGAUAAACUAUACUACCCCGUCUUCCUACUGCUGUGACCACAUCAUGGCCAUCUUUGUAUUCCUUCAUUUGGCUUCCCUACCUCUUCACGUUAACACUUAGUGUCUCCUCCUUGUCAGAACUUAGUAGUUAAGUGCCUCGGCACAGUGGAAUUUUCUAGCACAAUGAAGCUUUUCGGCACGGUGAAAUUUCCGCUACGGUGGAGAACCCCGAUGCAGAAAAGCUCCCGCCAUCCCUAUGUAAAUACGCACACCAUUAUUGGUCGGUUCUAAAUUAUUCCUACGUGGCGA
Molecule: long non-coding RNA, 2237 nt
Organism: Alligator sinensis (Chinese alligator)
Lineage: Eukaryota; Metazoa; Chordata; Crocodylia; Alligatoridae
Exons: 3
Source: RefSeq, a predicted model, not a curated record